AUGGAGCCCCCCAAUCGUGUCCCGGAGGGCCGCUUCUCCUUGCAGCUCGACGACGGCGAGGGCGCCCGUUUUCUGCUCAUCGGGUGCCACCAAGGCCUCGUACUCAGCCGCCAUAGAUUGCUGAACCAGCUCCUGGUCUGGGAUCCCGUCACCGGGGAUCAGCACAGGUUUGCCCGUCCCCUGGGCUUCGAGACGUUGGGACCUUCUGUCCACGGGGCGGUGCUUCGGGCUGCCGGAGACGUCCACCACUUCCAGGUGGUCUUGGUACGCACAGAAAUAAGCGAACAACAUUCACGAGCGAUCGCCCGCGUGUACUCAUCGGAGACCGGCAUAUGGGGUAAUCUCAUGUCAACACCGCUUCCACCCAAGGCUUCGAAUUCUCUUUUGCUAUUCCCCCCUAGGAUCAAUACGGUAUUUCCUGGUGUCCUAGUUGGGGAUUCGCUUUACUGGUUGCUUUCUGGCAUUACGGCUGGCAUCCUCGAGUUUGAUUUGGGUAGGCAGAGCUUAAGUGUGAUACAUGUGCCAGUGGACAUCUAUGCUAGGGGCAGUUCCCACUUCACCGUUAUGCGAGCAGAUGAUGGGGGGCUUGGUUUCUUUUUUCUGUCAAGAUUCACCGCACAGUUAUGGAAGAGGAAGAUUGAUUCUGAUGGUGUUGCUUCAUGGGUGAUGGGAAGAACUUUCGAAAUUGACAAGCUAUUUUCCCUUAAUUCACUGAAGUGGGGAGGGGUCCUUACGAUACGAGGGUUUGCUGAGGACAAUAAUGUGGUGUUCCUGUCAACAGCUACCAGCCUAUUCAUGCUACAGCUUGAGUCAUUGCAGUUGAAGAAACUUUUCGAUACUACAAUCGUGGGCUUCUAUCAUCCAUUCGAAAGUGUCUAUGCUGCAGGCACAGGCAUUGGUGGUGGACAUGGUGGACCUGAACUUUUGCACAACACAUAA
This 939-nucleotide ribosomal RNA is filed under the name Triticum aestivum (bread wheat). RNAcentral's name for it is "partial small subunit ribosomal RNA". The record is from RNAcentral. Lineage: Eukaryota; Viridiplantae; Streptophyta; Magnoliopsida; Poales; Poaceae.